UGGGGAAUUUUGGACAAUGGGCGAAAGCCUGAUCCAGCAAUGCCGCGUGUGUGAAGAAGGCCUUCGGGUUGUAAAGCACUUUUGUCCGGAAAGAAAUCCUUGGCUCUAAUACAGUCGGGGGAUGACGGUACCGGAAGAAUAAGCACCGGCUAACUACGUGCCAGCAGCCGCGGUAAUACGUAGGGUGCAAGCGUUAAUCGGAAUUACUGGGCGUAAAGCGUGCGCAGGCGGUUUGCUAAGACCGAUGUGAAAUCCCCGGGCUCAACCUGGGAACUGCAUUGGUGACUGGCAGGCUAGAGUAUGGCAGAGGGGGGUAGAAUUCCACGUGUAGCAGUGAAAUGCGUAGAGAUGUGGAGGAAUACCGAUGGCGAAGGCAGCCCCCUGGGCCAAUACUGACGCUCAUGCACGAAAGCGUGGGGAGCAAACAGGAUUAGAUACCCUGGUAGUCCACGCCCUAAAACGAUGUCAACUAGUUGUGGGGAUUCAUUUCCUUAGUAACGUAGCUAACGCGUGAAGUUGACCGCCUGGGGAGUACGGUCGCAAGAUUAAAACUCAAAGGAAUUGACGGGGUCAUAGCUGUUUCCU
Molecule: ribosomal RNA, 585 nt
Filed under: uncultured bacterium
Lineage: Bacteria
Description: partial 16S ribosomal RNA
Rfam family: Bacterial small subunit ribosomal RNA
Source: RNAcentral